CCUACGGGUGGCAGCAGUGAGGAAUAUUGGUCAAUGGAUGAGAGUCUGAACCAGCCAAGUAGCGUGAAGGAUGACUGCCCUAUGGGUUGUAAACUUCUUUUAUAUGGGAAUAAAAUGUUCCACGUGUGGGAUUUUGUAUGUACCAUAUGAAUAAGGAUCGGCUAACUCCGUGCCAGCAGCCGCGGUAAUACGGAGGAUCCGAGCGUUAUCCGGAUUUAUUGGGUUUAAAGGGAGCGUAGGUGGAUUGUUAAGUCAGUUGUGAAAGUUUGCGGCUCAACCGUAAAAUUGCAGUUGAAACUGGCAGUCUUGAGUACAGUAGAGGUGGGCGGAAUUCGUGGUGUAGCGGUGAAAUGCUUAGAUAUCACGAAGAACUCCGAUUGCGAAGGCAGUUCACUGGACUGCAACUGACACUGAGGCUCGAAAGUGUGGGUAUCAAACAGGAUUAGAUACCCUAGUAGUC
Molecule: ribosomal RNA, 460 nt
Filed under: uncultured bacterium
Lineage: Bacteria
Description: partial 16S ribosomal RNA
Rfam family: Bacterial small subunit ribosomal RNA
Source: RNAcentral